AUUGAACGCUGGCGGCAGGCCUAACACAUGCAAGUCGAACGAGUGGCGGACGGGUGAGUAAUGUCUGGGAAACUGCCCGAUGGAUGGGGAUAACUACUGGAAACGGUAGCUAAUACCGCAUACCAUCUGAUGUGCCCCGAUGGGAUUAGCUUUUAGGUGAGGUAACGGCUCACCUAGGCGACGAUCCCUAGCUGGUCUGAGAGGAUGACCAGCCACACUGGAACUGAGACACGGUCAAGACGCCUACGGGAUGCAGCAGGGGGGAAUAUUGCACAAUGGGAGCAAGGCUGAUGCAGCCAGGAAGCGUGUAUGAAGAAGGCCUUCGGGUUGUAAAGUACGUUCAGCGGGGAGGCGUUAACCGCAGAAGAAGUACCGGCUAACUCCGUGCCAGAAGACGCGGUAAGUC
RNAcentral lists this ribosomal RNA (406 nucleotides) under uncultured bacterium. Its description in RNAcentral is "partial 16S ribosomal RNA". It matches the Rfam family "Bacterial small subunit ribosomal RNA", at positions 30 to 526 of the family's 1533-position model. The record is from RNAcentral.